GGCCACCCUUGUAGCCUUGUUUUUAUAAUACUUUCCUGUGUCAAAAAAAUUAAUGAAGUUAAUUUAGAAUGAGAAAUGAUAGAUAAUGCCUAUAGUUAUCUCCAAGAAGAUUGCUGCAAAGACUAAGAGGAUCACAGACCUUUCUUCUGGAAUGUUCCUGUUCCUAUCUGUAGGAUGAAUGAGUGAAUGAGUGAAUCAGUGACUCAGACAAAGCCACUGUUGCAUAACUGUAUGCAUGCACAGUGAACUCUGCAGACUCUGUGGAUGGUUCCUGUAAAUACAGCUUAAAACCGCAGUGGAAAAGCCACAUGCUCCUGAUACACUUGUGGGGACGUAAAGGGAAACCCACACACCCAAGGAGGCGGACUUUGGCCAUGCAAGGCUGAAGGCCCAGUGUACUGACAUGGAAACUGAAGCUCAGAGAGAAGAGGCGAUGUUGCUUUCUUAACCACUGGAUUUGCAGUGCUGUGGUUCUCAGGAGAGGCCAGGACAGGUUAACCUACUCGCUUGGGAGGCAGGUCCGCAACUUCCUGUCUGGUGAUAAUGAUGUUUCCUUCAACCUCCUGAGCUCUCAGCCAGUCAUUGGGAGCUUGGCACCUGAUUAACAGAAUCUGCCACAGCCUAGAAAAAAAUGAUUCCCUCCAGCUGUCAUGUCAGAUCAGGAAAUAGCUCUCGGGAAUUCUCCAACUCUUUAUUUCAUGGCUCAUCAGGUCAUUGGCUUCAGAACUUUCUACCACAUGCUCGACUCCAGUGGCCUCGGUUGGGCCUGGCCGUGAUGAGCUGCACAGUACUCCAUGCGUAUUUGUGGACGGAAUCGGUGAACAAGCAUUAGAAUCAAUGGAAGAAGGCCAGAGUUAUCCCUUGCCUUCUCUGGAAAGUCACACCUAAUGCUCUGCAGACCCAGCAAACAGUUUACUAGAAAAAUUGCAUUCCGGUGGAGGCAAACAGAGUAACGUAUUUGAAAAGCAUGAACUAAUGGUGAACAUCAGAAAACCACAAGCAACUGCUGCUUCUCUACUAAUUAUAGCUUUAGCCCUCUUUGGUCCUCUCCAGUUCUAGAAAAAGAAAAUGGCAUUCAAUCCUAUUAUCCCUGCUUCCUGACAGCACCCAGACCAGAUCAGACUUACACUUUCUUCAGUGCCCACCUAACCAAAAUCACAAAGCACAAGCCCAAAUUCCAUACAAGUUCCCUCCUAACUAACUAUGACUGUGUGGUCCCGUGGUUCCUCCUGUGGUAUAGUCUGCCUUGAUGCAAGUACCAGGAAAAUAAACUUUGCUUCAUGACAGGUGUGUUCACAACUGAAGGUGUUUGAUUGAUGGUCCCAUUUUCACUGUCUUUAUCUUCCUCACAACAUUUCUGGGGAAGCAGCAUGGAGCUAGAAAACCUAUUUUAUGCCAGUACAAGUGGUUUGUUCAAAUUCACAUAGAUACCAAAUUCACAGUUAUGAAUCAAAAUCUCUCAAUCUCCAGCUGUUUCUUCAAGAUGGGUCAGUCCAUGAAGGCUGCAUCCCAGAGAAAAAGGAAGUAGAGAUAAUUGCAGCUGAGACCAGCAGACUCAGAAUGGAGUGGGGACCAUGAAAAUCCUGCAAGAAAGGGUUGUGGGAGGGGAGCAGAAACAGGCCAGGUUGUGAAAAAUGGGCCAUAGGAGGAACAGGUAAUCAUCUUGCAGGUUGGAGAGGCAACUGAUUCUGCAGGGAGGUGGAUAAGUUAUAUGGGGUGGAUGUCUGGGAGGAAGAAGCAGUGGGCAAGGUUUAAGGUCCUAGAAGCCCUGACAAUGACUAUAGGGGUGGUGUGAAGGUGCUCAGAGAAGAUAAAUGACAACGAGUUAGCAGAGUCUGUUUGUUGUACUUGUU
Molecule: long non-coding RNA, 1853 nt
Organism: Papio anubis (olive baboon)
Lineage: Eukaryota; Metazoa; Chordata; Mammalia; Primates; Cercopithecidae
Source: Ensembl